Molecule: ribosomal RNA, 241 nt
Filed under: uncultured bacterium
Lineage: Bacteria
Description: partial 16S ribosomal RNA
Rfam family: Bacterial small subunit ribosomal RNA
Source: RNAcentral
GAUCCUGGCUCAGGACGAACGCUGGCGGCGCGCCUAACACAUGCAAGUCGAACGAGAGAGAGGGAGCUUGCUUCCUUGAUCGAGUGGCGAACGGGUGAGUAACGCGUGAGGAACCUGCCUCAAAGAGGGGGACAACAGUUGGAAACGACUGCUAAUACCGCAUAAGCCCACGGCUCGGCAUCGAGCAGAGGGAAAAGGAGCAAUCCGCUUUGGAGAGUCGGCCGUCGCGUCCGUAUUAGCG